Molecule: ribosomal RNA, 459 nt
Filed under: uncultured Streptococcus sp.
Lineage: Bacteria; Bacillati; Bacillota; Bacilli; Lactobacillales; Streptococcaceae
Description: partial 16S ribosomal RNA
Rfam family: Bacterial small subunit ribosomal RNA
Source: RNAcentral
ACGGGAGGCAGCAGUAGGGAAUCUUCGGCAAUGGGGGGAACCCUGACCGAGCAACGCCGCGUGAGUGAAGAAGGUUUUCGGAUCGUAAAGCUCUGUUGUUAGAGAAGAACAGUGAUGGGAGUGGAAAGUCCAUCAUUUGACGGUAACUAACCAGAAAGGGACGGCUAACUACGUGCCAGCAGCCGCGGUAAUACGUAGGUCCCGAGCGUUGUCCGGAUUUAUUGGGCGUAAAGCGAGCGCAGGCGGUUUGAUAAGUCUGAAGUUAAAGGCAGUGGCUUAACCAUUGUAUGCUUUGGAAACUGUUAAACUUGAGUGCAGAAGGGGAGAGUGGAAUUCCAUGUGUAGCGGUGAAAUGCGUAGAUAUAUGGAGGAACACCGGUGGCGAAAGCGGCUCUCUGGUCUGUAACUGACGCUGAGGCUCGAAAGCGUGGGGAGCAAACAGGAUUAGAUACCCUGGUA